GACGAACGCUGGCGGCGUGCUUAAUACAUGCAAGUCGAACGAAAAGACCAGGAUCUUGUGGGGUGCUCGAUUGGCGAGGGGGUGAGUAACACGUGAGUAACAUCCACUUGUCUGUCGGGUAACACCACGAAACUGGGGCUCUUACAGGGUAGAAGCUCUUGCUCCACAGGGUGGGUUGGUAAAUGUCGGCUGUUGUGGAUGGACUCGCGGCUUAUGAGCCUGUUGGUGGGGUAGGUGAUUACCAAGGCUAUGAAGGGUAGCCGGCGUGGGAGAGUGACCGGGCACCAUGGGACUGCGAUACGGCCCAGAAGCCAACGGGAGGCAGCGGGGGAGAACAUUGCGCAAUGGGCGCAAGCGUGAGGCAGAAACGCCGGGUGCGGGAUGACGGCCUUUGGGUUGUGAACCACUUUCGACUGUGCCAAAGCGUGAUUGACGGUACCGGGUAAAAAAGCACCGGCUAACUACGUG
This 468-nucleotide ribosomal RNA is filed under the name uncultured bacterium. RNAcentral's name for it is "partial 16S ribosomal RNA". It matches the Rfam family "Bacterial small subunit ribosomal RNA", at positions 28 to 507 of the family's 1533-position model. The record is from RNAcentral.